UAGGGAAUCUUCCACAAUGGACGCAAGUCUGAUGGAGCAACGCCGCGUGAGUGAAGAAGGCUUUCGGGUCGUAAAACUCUGUUAUUGAAGAAGAACGUGUGUGACAGUAACUGGUCAUGCAGUGACGGUAUUCAAUCAGAAAGUCACGGCUAACUACGUGCCAGCAGCCGCGGUAAUACGUAGGUGGCAAGCGUUGUCCGGAUUUAUUGGGCGUAAAGCGAGUGCAGGCGGUCUUUUAAGUCUGAUGUGAAAGCCUUCGGCUUAACCGAAGAAGGGCAUCGGAAACUGGGAGACUUGAGUGCAGAAGNAGGAGAGUGGAACUCCAUGUGUAGCGGUGAAAUGCGUAGAUAUAUGGAAGAACACCAGUGGCGAAGGCGGCUCUCUGGUCUGUAACUGACGCUGAGGCUCGAAAGCGUGGGUAGCAAAACAGGAUUAGAU
Molecule: ribosomal RNA, 438 nt
Filed under: uncultured bacterium
Lineage: Bacteria
Description: partial 16S ribosomal RNA
Rfam family: Bacterial small subunit ribosomal RNA
Source: RNAcentral